CGGGGAAAACGGGGUUCGAACCCGCGACUUCUGGCGUGACAGACCAGCACUCUAACCAACUGAGCUAUUUCCCC
This 74-nucleotide transfer RNA is filed under the name Aegilops longissima. RNAcentral describes it as "tRNA-Asp". The record is from RNAcentral. RNAcentral also lists the same sequence under 2 other names. Lineage: Eukaryota; Viridiplantae; Streptophyta; Magnoliopsida; Poales; Poaceae.